Molecule: ribosomal RNA, 197 nt
Filed under: uncultured bacterium
Lineage: Bacteria
Description: partial 16S ribosomal RNA
Rfam family: Bacterial small subunit ribosomal RNA
Source: RNAcentral
ACGCUCGACACCUACUGGAGGCAGCAGUGGGGAAUAUUGCACAAUGGGGGAAACCCUGAUGCAGCGACGCCGCGUGAGCGAAGAAGUAUUUCGGUAUGUAAAGCUCUAUCAGCAGGGAAGAAAUGACGGUACCUGACUAAGAAGCCCCGGCUAACUACGUGCCGGCAGCCGCGGUAAUCUGAGGCGGCUGGCAAGGC